AGAGAGAGACAUGCGCGCAUAUCAAUAAGCGGAGGAAAAGAAACUAACUAGGAUUCCCUUCAGUAACGGCGAGUGAAGCGGGAAGAGCUCAAAUUUGAAAUCUUCAAGGUUCUACCUUGACGAAUUGUAGUUUAAAGAAGUGUUUUCUGCUGAAGUUUUGGUAAAAGUUCUUUGGAAUAGGACAUCAUAGAGGGUGAGAAUCCCGUAUUUGACCAUUAUUUUCAGCUUUGUGAUACACUUUCAAAGAGUCGGAUUGUUUGGGAAUGCAGUCCAAAAUGGGUGGUAAAUUUCAUCUAAAGCUAAAUAUUGGCGAGAGACCGAUAGCGAACAAGUACCGUGAGGGAAAGAUGAAAAGAACUUUGAAAAGAGAGUUAAACAGUACGUGAAAUUGUCAAAAGGGAAGCGUUUGACACCAGUGUUGUUUUCUCGAAAAUCAAUUAAAAAUGGCUCGAUUUUGUAUUGCUUGAGACCUUAAAAGCUCACUGUACAUUUUUCGUGUCUUUUUUAAUGCACUUUUCGUUUAACAAGUCAACAUCAGUUUCUUUUGUUGUAAAAGGGUCAUUGGAAGGUGGCUUUCUUUUCGGAGAAAGUGUUUAUAGCCUUUGGCCUCUGCAAUCGGAGAGACUGAGGUCUGCAGCGUAGACUCUUCGGGGUUAGAUACAUUUGUGCUAAGUUAUAGCUUUUUAUAGACAACUUGUUGACUAUAAUUAGUCUUGUAGCUUACUCGCUUAUGCUAUUUUACCUACGCUUAGGAUGUUGAGUCGUAGAGCACGCAG
Molecule: ribosomal RNA, 776 nt
Filed under: uncultured Neocallimastigales
Lineage: Eukaryota; Fungi; Neocallimastigomycota; Neocallimastigomycetes; Neocallimastigales
Description: partial large subunit ribosomal RNA
Rfam family: Eukaryotic large subunit ribosomal RNA
Source: RNAcentral